CCCCAGCCGUGCAGGGGAGGACCUGCUGCCCCCACCCCCUCCAGCUGACUCUCAGCACAGUCUGCAGUUCUGCCAGACCUCGAGGGGACAAAUAGCAUCUCACCUUGGAAAUAGAGGUUGUUUUGGGAACCUGCACCCAGA
Phyllostomus discolor (pale spear-nosed bat) is the source of this 141-nucleotide long non-coding RNA. RefSeq lists it as uncharacterized. NCBI's taxonomy places the organism in Eukaryota, Metazoa, Chordata, Mammalia, Chiroptera, Phyllostomidae. The transcript has 3 exons. The record is from RefSeq and is a predicted model, not a curated record.